This 387-nucleotide RNase P RNA is filed under the name Bacteroidota bacterium. RNAcentral's name for it is "Bacteroidetes bacterium RNase P RNA component class A". It matches the Rfam family "Bacterial RNase P class A". Rfam says of the family: Ribonuclease P (RNase P) is a ubiquitous endoribonuclease, found in archaea, bacteria and eukarya as well as chloroplasts and mitochondria. The record is from RNAcentral. Lineage: Bacteria; Pseudomonadati; Bacteroidota.
GCUGCAAACCGUGCUAUCGCUUCAGCGCUUCCAGUUGAGGAGGAAAGUCCGGACAGUACAGAGCAAUGCACCCCGUGAUAAGCGGGGGUACUUCAACCAAUGCUGAAAAGUAAGUUGAAGUAACAGAUAGUGCCACAGAAAAUAACUACUUCGCUUCGGCGGAGAAAAGAUGAAAAUGUGGGGUAAGAGCCCACGGCUUUUGAUCGUGACAUCAUUUGCGGGUAAACCUUGCAUGCUGAAAUGCCACAUAUAGUAUCGUUUGAGGGCUGCUCGUCCAAGAUACAGGGUAGGCAGAUUGAUCCCGGUGAGUAAUUACCGGGACAGAUAAAUGAUAGCGGUCCCGAUUUAUCGGGAUAACAGGAUCCGGCUUACAAGUUUGCAGCGUUU